UGGGGAAUUUUGCAUAAUGGGGGAAACCCUGAUGCAGCGACGCCGCGUGAGUUAGAAGGCCUUCGGGUUGUAAAAAUCUUUUCUAUGGGAAGAAAAUGACAGUACCAUAGGAAUAAGGACAGGCUAAUUACGUGCCAGCAGCCGCGGUAAUACGUAAGGUCCGUGCGUUGUCCGGAAUCAUUGGGCGUAAAGGGUACGUAGGCGGGUAAGCAAGUUAGAAGUGAAAUCCUAUAGCUCAACUAUAGUAAGCUUUUAAAACUGCUCAUCUUGAGAUAUGGAAGGGAAAGUGGAAUUCCUAGUGUAGCGGUGAAAUGCGCAGAUAUUAGGAGGAAUACCGGUGGCGAAGGCGACUUUCUGGCCAUAACCUGACGCUGAGGUACGAAAGCGUGGGUAGCAAACAGG
This 402-nucleotide ribosomal RNA is filed under the name bacterium. RNAcentral describes it as "partial 16S ribosomal RNA". It matches the Rfam family "Bacterial small subunit ribosomal RNA", at positions 355 to 776 of the family's 1533-position model. The record is from RNAcentral.